This 107-nucleotide small nuclear RNA is filed under the name Propithecus coquereli (Coquerel's sifaka). The record is from RNAcentral. Lineage: Eukaryota; Metazoa; Chordata; Mammalia; Primates; Indriidae.
GUGCUCGCUUCGACAGCAGAUACACUAAAAUUGGAACGAUACAGAGAAGGUUAGCAUGGUCCCUGCACAAGGAUGACACGCAAAUUUGUGAAGCGUUUCAUAAAAAA